Molecule: ribosomal RNA, 497 nt
Filed under: uncultured bacterium
Lineage: Bacteria
Description: partial 16S ribosomal RNA
Rfam family: Bacterial small subunit ribosomal RNA
Source: RNAcentral
GAUGAACGCUGGCGGCGUGCCUAAUACAUGCAAGUCGAGCGAACAGACGAGGAGCUUGCUCCUCUGACGUUAGCGGCGGACGGGUGAGUAACACGUGGAUAACCUACCUAUAAGACUGGGAUAACUUCGGGAAACCGGAGCUAAUACCGGAUAAUAUAUUGAACCGCAUGGUUCAAUAGUGAAAGACGGUUUUGCUAUCACUUAUAGAUGGAUCCGCGCCGCAUUAGCUAGUUGGUAAGGUAACGGCUUACCAAGGCAACGAUGCGUAGCCGACCUGAGAGGGUGAUCGGCCACACUGAGACUGAGACACGGUCCAGACUCCUACGGGAGGCAGCAGUAGGGAAUCUUCCGCAAUGGGCGAAAGCCUGACGGAGCAACGCCGCGUGAGUGAUGAAGGUCUUCGGAUCGUAAAACUCUGUUAUUAGGGAAGAACAAAUGUGUAAGUAACUAUGCACGUCUUGACGGUACCUAAUCAGAAAGCCACGGCUAACUACGUG